GGAAUAUUGCACAAUGGGCGCAAGCCUGAUGCAGCCAUGCCGCGUGUAUGAAGAAGGCCUUCGGGUUGUAAAGUACUUUCAGCGGGGAGGAAGGGAGUAAAGUUAAUACCUUUGCUCAUUGACGUUACCCGCAGAAGAAGCACCGGCUAACUCCGUGCCAGCAGCCGCGGUAAUACGGAGGGUGCAAGCGUUAAUCGGAAUUACUGGGCGUAAAGCGCACGCAGGCGGUUUGUUAAGUCAGAUGUGAAAUCCCCGGGCUCAACCUGGGAACUGCAUCUGAUACUGGCAAGCUUGAGUCUCGUAGAGGGGGGUAGAAUUCCAGGUGUAGCGGUGAAAUGCGUAGAGAUCUGGAGGAAUACCGGUGGCGAAGGCGGCCCCCUGGACGAAGACUGACGCUCAGGUGCGAAAGCGUGGGGAGCAAACAGGA
RNAcentral lists this unclassified non-coding RNA (427 nucleotides) under plant metagenome. RNAcentral's name for it is "partial contains 5.8S ribosomal RNA, internal transcribed spacer 2, and large subunit ribosomal RNA". It matches the Rfam family "Bacterial small subunit ribosomal RNA", at positions 358 to 777 of the family's 1533-position model. The record is from RNAcentral.